GCAAAGGGUGUUUAGAUAGCUGCAGGUAGUUUGGUGCAGCUGAAACAGAUUUCAAUUAGGGUUCGGCUGCAGAUGGAAGCAGGGGGGCCUUGGAGUUUGCAUUUGGUUCUUUGGGAGUACGAAGCUAUUGUAAGGCCUUUGGCUGGAAGUAACAUGAUUCAGCAGUAUCCCUCAGGAAUGAGACAGGGACAAAGCUGGGGGGACUAGUGAGGAGAUGAACUAGAAUAAUGCAGAUUAAACUUGAUGAGAGUUGUAUUGAAGGAAUAUCCAGAGGAGAAGACUUUGAGAGAGAGAAUGCAGGCAGAACAAUAAGCCUAGAUGGAUACUCGGAUGUGAAGAGGGAAAGCACUUGAGCAUGACUCCCAGCUCAGUUAUGAUGUCAUUAAAUUUAUGACACUGGAAAUUUAGGGGAGAGUGGGCAGAUGGGAAAGGCAGAGAGCAGAGCAUAGUGAAGGCAGCUAAAUUCAAUUGGGGCAUGUUGAGAUUGAGUUCUCUGUGGUCAUUCAGACAGAACUGUCCACUAAGAAGAAAUGGAAUCUAUGGUUCUGCAGGUCAGAAUGGUCUGUACCAGAGAUGAAGUCAUCGGUCUACAGAUGAAUUGAGUGAAAGCAAUCACCCAGAGCCAGGCAAGGUGUCAGAGCUCCAACAUCAAAAGGUGGUUGACUGGUGGGUUGGUAAGAAGAAUUUACCACUGACCGUAUAGGACUGGAAAAGGAAAGGUUUAUUAGGUAGAAAGAACGCUGUCGAAGAGUGCAGCUGCAGCGGAGCACCUCAGCAAGAGAGGACUGAGUGCAACACAGUGGAUCCUUCCUCAGGGGUAUUUAUGGACCUUAAAGCCGGAGCUGAAGAUGAUCUGUGGAAGGGAGAGAGCAGCAUGCUGGAGGGGAUGAUUUGGCAAGUCCGCUGAAGAACACAAGCCUCGACUGCUCCCCGGCGUGGAAGAAGGAAGGCGAUAAAUACUGUAACGGAGGACGAGGAAGGAGCACUGAGUUCUAUGUGGAAAGAAAGGGUCAAAAAGAGGAAAACGCCUAUUCACAUGCAUGGCGUUUAACAGAUUUAUUAGGUUGUUUGCUGUGUGAUGUAAAUCUCCUCCUCUCUCUCCUUGAAAUUUCUUGAGUGAAUUCUACAUUGUUCAUUCAUUCAUGUUUAUGUGCCAGCAAGCUUUGGGAGCACUGUAAAAAUAAAAAAGGUUAGACCACUGUUAGACAUCUGGGAAACAUCUAUGUUAGAGAAGGACUAUAUAUUAAUUUAUCUCAUUUAUGGGAGGCAAAUACUAUGAUUAUUGAAGGUACAUCUCUUUCUUUAUGGAUGGAGUACAUCUUAUUUUUCUAAAAUUUGUAUUUGAACCUAUUUAUUUCUAAUUGUCAAAAAUGUGAAGUGAGAAACUUAAAAACUUUUUAGUUUCUCUUGUCCCACCAUUUUAUGUACUUCCAGGUUGUCAAAUAAUUUGGAAUUUUAGACUUAGAUAAUUCUCUAAUGUAUAUUAUAGAUCUUCUAUUUCAAUAAUUAGCUUAUAUUUUAAUUAAAUUGUAUAACUGCAUUAAAAUAUACUUAACUAUGUUUUUCUAGUUUUAUUAUUUGGUUUUUCAUUUAGGAAAUAUUUAUGUUUGUGUGUAUAUAUAGUUGCCCUUCUAGAAUUCUUUAGUUUGAUUGCAUCUCUAUAGACUAGAUAAUGGUAUCUGUCUUACUUAUUUAUUUAUUUUUAAGACAGUCUCAUUCUGUCACCCAGGCUGGAGUGCAGUGGCGCAAUCUCAGCUCACUAUGACCUCCACUUCCUGGGUUCAAGUGAUUCUCCUGCCUCAGCCUCUUGAGUAGCUGGGACUACAGGCAUGCACCAGCAUGCCCAGCUAAUUUUUGCAUUUUUAGUAGAGAUGGGUUUUCACCAUGUUGGUUGGCCAGGCUUGUCUGGAACUCCUGACCUCAGGGGAUCCUUCUGCCUCGGCCUCCCAAAGUGCUGGAAUUACAGGUGUGAGCCACCACGCCUGGCCAGUAUAUGUCUUUGGGUAAAAUUUUUUCAGAAAGAGUGAAUAAACCAUGAUAACUGAUCUUUACUUAGCACUUCCCAUGUGCCAGUCAUUAUUCUUUAUCUGUAUUAACUCAUUUAAUCUAGACAACAACCCCAUGAGUAAGUUACCACUACCCAGUAGUGGCUCUUGGGAUGGGUGGAAGGAAGGAUGACGAGGUAUAUGGAGAUCAAUCAGGAAGCGAUUACAAGAAACCUGGUGAGGGACAAGGGAGGCCUCAGUGAGAAAGAGACAGAUGUGAGAAAUGUCUGACAUCACCCAGAGAGUGAGCACAGGAUCCAAUAGGUAGUUUUUCAGCCCUUGCCCCUCCCUUCCCCUCUCACCCCUCUAGUUAGGAGUCACCAGUUCCUAUUGUUGCCAUCUUUUUGUCCACAAUUACCCAAUGUCUGGCUCCCACUUAUAAGUGAGAACUAACCCUUAACAUCCUCCACUUAUUGCAGUUAGAAAUCUCAUUGUGACGUCCACAAAGCAAGUGAAUAUUUGAAUAUUGGCUCAAUCAUUAACUAAUUUUGUGACCUUAGAAAAGUUACUUAGCCUUUCUGAGCCUCAUAAUCUUCAUCUGCAAAUGGAAAAAUAAUAAUUCCUGCCUCUCGUUGUUACUAUGAACACUGUAAUAUUGAAUAUAAUUAAAUACUCUUCCUCAUCCUUCUUAUAAUUGCUUGUGUUUGGGUAAGCUUGUCUACUAGACACAAGUUCCUCGAAGGCAGAAGUACUCUUCAGUGAAUCUUUACAAUACUCCAAGCACAUAAUACUCAA
Molecule: long non-coding RNA, 2780 nt
Filed under: Homo sapiens (human)
Lineage: Eukaryota; Metazoa; Chordata; Mammalia; Primates; Hominidae
Description: HSALNT0100993
Source: RNAcentral